UUUUUUUUUUUUUUUUUAUCCUUUCAUUGAUUAAAUCUAAAGCAUUCAGUGUGGAUAAUUUCCUUCUGCAUUACUUACCUUCAACGGUAAAUCAGUGGAUCAACUGCUGCAGCUCUAUAUGCGGGAAUCCCACAGGUACUAUGUCCAUUUAUGUUGGAUCAAUUUUAUUGGGCUGAGAGGAUGUACUGGCUUGGAGUUGCUCCAGAACCAUUGAAAAGAAACCAUUUGGUUCCUGAUAAAAUGGAUGACUUCAGAAUCAGGGUAGCUGCAAAUGUGCUAUCAAGAGCCAUAGCUUAUGCAUUAUCUCCUGAAGUUAAGGAAUGUGCUCUAAAAAUUGCUGAAAUGAUCUCUCUCGAGGAUGGAGUUAUGGAAGCUGUAAAGGUUCUUAAGCAAGAGAUGACUUGUUCAAAUUAGAUUCUCUUUGGACUUGCGAAGAUAACUCCUAUUCUCAUAAAUUUUUUGCUUUCUUGAUUUUAGUCUGUGUCACUUGCCAGGAGAUCUCUGUAUAAUAUAUAGUGAUACUGAAAUUAAAGCACAGCCUGGGGUCUUUAGGAUGUCAGCGUCAAUUAAUGCAACUAGGUAGCGGCGGUGAUUCCAAAUGUUGUUUUUCCAACCGUUGCAUUUUUUUCCCAGGAAACAAAAGGAAAGCAUCCUAAUUCUCAUAAUCUAGGUUUCACUUCUCUUGUCCAAAAUUCAACACGGUCAAUUUCAUGUUCCUUGAGCUGCUCACUCUUGCAACUCCCACAAUGCUUGAGCAGUUCGAGCAAUGCCCUUCACAAAUGUGGCAAAAACCUGGUGGGCAAAAGCAGCGCAGCAAUUAAGACAAACAGAAAUCAUUGAUAGAGAAAAUUACUACUUUUAUCUCAUUACCCUUGCUCUUAUUUGACCCCUCUUAGGAGGCAGCUGUGCAUGCAGGGCAUGUUGAGCAGGAGUAGGAUUCUGUGGAUGAAUGUCUGAGGGCUCAGGGACUCGUGGAUUCCGGGGAAAUCUAGACCAUAAUACACCAGAGGCAAAGAUUAAAGGCCAAACAGAGAUUUUGAUAGGACUUUCAGCUUUAUGAGACAGAAAGGCAUAAGCAAUUGCUGCAAAAACACAUUGGAAGAUGCCACAAACUAAUCCAACAAUAUCAGCAAAUGUCCUCAGAGGCUUGUAACUUGGAAAUGGGGAGUAAAACCAAGGUAUAUGGCCUCUCAUCAUGAAUUUAACUCUUUCACUUCGACCUGUUCGAGCAAGAUCAAUAAUGGAGAUG
Molecule: unclassified non-coding RNA, 1249 nt
Filed under: Hevea brasiliensis (rubber tree)
Lineage: Eukaryota; Viridiplantae; Streptophyta; Magnoliopsida; Malpighiales; Euphorbiaceae
Source: RNAcentral